Chionomys nivalis (European snow vole) is the source of this 2854-nucleotide long non-coding RNA. RefSeq lists it as uncharacterized. Lineage: Eukaryota; Metazoa; Chordata; Mammalia; Rodentia; Cricetidae. The record is from RefSeq and is a predicted model, not a curated record. The transcript is spliced from 3 exons.
GCCUGGGCUCCGGGGGCGGGGUGUGGUGUCCCCGCGGGGCGUGUCCGGGCCCGUGGACGCUCUCCCGGUUCCCGGUCCGGGACUACGUCUCCCAUGAUUCCCGGCAGCGGCCAUUUUUCCUGUAGUUCGAGACCGGUCCGGGAGGACUCGGUCUCCCAUGAUUCCCGGCCUGCAGGCCCGGGCUCCUUCCUUCCUGCCUGCCUGCCUGCCCGGGAAAUACAGACAGGACGCUCGCCCAGGCUCGUAGCUGGCGGUCCCCGGGACCGGAACUGGGGUGCCUAGGGCUCCCGGGCCAGCGCAGGGGGUCUGAGCAGCUGGGAACAAACAAGCAGCCACCCAUCCAUUCCUUAGAGAAGUCCAUUUACAGGCAUUGCAGAUAGUGCAAAGGGAAGUCUGGAAACCACUUGCUGCAGCCUACCGAGAGCAGCUAGACAAGCCGGUGGUGCCGCACCCCUUCCAAAUAGGAGAAACUGUAUGGGUUCGCAGACACCAGACUAAGAACCUGGAACUUUGGUGGAAGGGGCCCUACACUGUUCUCCUGACCACGCCAACGGCCCUGAAAGUUGACAGCAUUGCAGCCUGUAUCCACGCCUCCCACGUCAAGGUGGCCCACGCUACUGGAGAAGCGGAGCCGAUUGCGACUCCAGGAUGGAAAGUCCAGUGCACCCAAAAUCUUUUAAAGAUAAGACUUACCCGUGGGGCCCCUUGAUCAUUAUAUGGGCCCUGCUGAGGCUGGGAAUGGCGACCCAAGAGGGGAGCCCACAUCAAGUGUACACUCUGACGUGGCAAGUCCAGUCCCAGAGCGGAGAGAUUGUUUGGGAAAUUCAGGGCAACCAUGCACUUAACACCUGGUGGCCCACUCUAACACCUGACUUCUGCCAGCUAGCCGCGGGGCUGGAUUCCUGGGACAUUGCCGAUGCAGACCAUUCUAAACUAGACACCACCAUGGAACCCACCUCAGGAGGCCAAGGUGUAGAAGGCUGCUCCAGCCCUAGAAGAAGAUGCAUAUUAGCAGGAGCAUACUUUUUCUUAUGUCCCAAGGACGGUAGAACUAAAGCCCAGGCUUACAAAUGUGGGGGAUAUGAAAGGAUGUUCUGUGCAGCAUGGGGUUGUGAGACAACGGGGGAUGCCUACUGGGGCCCCCGAUCCAGUUGGGACAAGAUAAGGGUCACCCGGGGCUGGGAUCGGCCACCAUUAGAAUGGUGGCCGAACAACUACAAAGGGGGAUGUGGGGACCCCUCCACUAAGAAAGGCUGGGGUAACUUCCAAUGCUCUAAUGGAACUUGUCUGCCCCUCAGAAUUGACUUUACGGACUCAGGAAAAAGAGCCACAGAAUGGCAGCAGGGCUACACCUGGGGCCUCCAAUGGUACAGAAUAAAUAGGGGACUAACUUUCAAAAUCAAACUUAAAGUAGAAACAACGACCCACUCUGUAGGCCCCAACCCAGUCAUAGGGGACCAAAAACCACCCUCCCAAUCGACAUAAGCCUAACCCCCAGCAGCAACCCACAACACCUCCCUGACCCCCUCCACCAAUACCAGUACCAGCAAGACUCUUGUUACCGCCUUGCCUUCCCAUCGCCCUGGGACGGGGGAUAGGCUGCUUAACUUGGUACAAGGGGCCUAUUUAGUUCUCAAUUUUACCAACCCCAGUAAAACCCAGGAAUGAUGGCUAUGCCUGAUUUCGAGUCCCCCUUACUAUGAAGGAGUGGCCGUCCUAGGUAACUAUUCUAAUCAGACCUCUGCACCCCUUAGCUGCACUUCCUACCCUCAACACAGAUUGACCCUGUCAGAGGUCACUGGAAAGGGGCUCUGUAUAGGAAAUGUCCCUAUAACCCACCAGGCUUUGUGUAAUUCAAUCCAGAAGGUGUUUGCUGGAUCUUAUUACCUAGCUGCCCCCAAUGGAACUUAUUGGGCAUGCAAUGCCGGCUUGACCGGUUAGUGCCCUUGAAUAAUCACUGACCUCCCUUUCGGAGGUGGUCUUCCAGAAUAGGAGAGGAUUGGACAUGUUGUUCCUACAGGAAGGAGGACUGUGCGCAGCCCUCAAAGAAGAAUGCUGCUUCUAUGCAGACCACACCGGGCUGGUAAGGGACAACAUGGCAAAACUUAGGGAAAGGUUAAAGCAGAGACAAAAGCUGUUUGAAGCACAACAAGGAUGGUUCGAAGGAUGGUUAAUAAGUCUCCCUGGUUUACCACUCUAAUAUCCACCUUGAUGAGUCCUUUGAUUAUCCUCCUUUUGAUACUCCUGUUUGGACCCUGCAUCUUGAACCGCUUGGUCCAAUUUAUGAAGGACAGACUAUCUGUCAUUCAAGCAUUAGUAUUGACCCAUCAAUAUCAAAGAUUACAACAACAGGAGACUGAGAUCCCGUAACUACUUUGAGUAAAAGAUUUUACUCAAUGAUAUAAGAAAAUGGGGGAAUGAAAGACCCCCCAGCCCUGCUACAUUGCCUAAACCCAGCUUAGCCGCUGUAACACCAUUUCGCAAGGCCUUUACAUAAACAAGUAUAGGUUCAGGGCAAGGUCAGUGCUCUUAGGCUGACAAACAGGAUAUCUGUGGUCAGACAUCUAUCUGGCUUGGGAGGGGAACGGAAAAUUCUGGGGAAAACCACAUGCACCCUAGAUAGAGCCAAGUCAGCUAUUAUCAGAUCUUCAUGUCCCUGAGGAACUUGUCCCCAAGUGAACCCAUCGCCUCAUUCAAACUGACCAAUGAAAUCCCUGUAACCAUCCAUCUGCUUCUGUACGCUGCUUCUGCCUGCCCUUUUUCCUAUGAAAAGACCCUUCCCCAGUCUGCAGGCGCGCAAGUCCUCCGAAAGACUUUGCCGCCCGCAGGUACCUGUGUCCAUCCAAUAAACCUC